GACGAACGCUGGCGGCGUGCUUAACACAUGCAAGUCGAACGGAAAGGCCCUGCUUUUGUGGGGUGCUCGAGUGGCGAACGGGUGAGUAACACGUGAGUAACCUGCCCUUGACUUUGGGAUAACUUCAGGAAACUGGGGCUAAUACCGGAUAGGAGCUCCUGCUGCAUGGUGGGGGUUGGAAAGUUUCGGCGGUUGGGGAUGGACUCGCGGCUUAUCAGCUUGUUGGUGGGGUAGUGGCUUACCAAGGCUUUGACGGGUAGCCGGCCUGAGAGGGUGACCGGCCACAUGGGGACUGAGAAAGGGCCCAGACUCCUACGGGAGGAAGGAGUGGGGAAGAUUGCACAAUGGGCGGAAGCCUGAUGGAGGAACGCCGGGUGCGGGAUGACGGCCUUCGGGUUGUAAACCGCUUUCGCGUGUGACGAAGCGUGAGUGAGGGUAAUGGGUAAAGAAGCACCGGCUAACUACGU
RNAcentral lists this ribosomal RNA (467 nucleotides) under uncultured bacterium. RNAcentral describes it as "partial 16S ribosomal RNA". It matches the Rfam family "Bacterial small subunit ribosomal RNA", at positions 28 to 506 of the family's 1533-position model. The record is from RNAcentral.